RNAcentral lists this long non-coding RNA (10346 nucleotides) under Homo sapiens (human). Its description in RNAcentral is "HSALNT0407039". Lineage: Eukaryota; Metazoa; Chordata; Mammalia; Primates; Hominidae. The record is from RNAcentral.
AGCAACUCUGGAAGCCAGUAUAGAAGGACUCCUCAGAGCUAUUCUGCCCAAGGGGAGAAGGAGCUGGUGUAUGUUAAAUUGAUUUCCACCAGUCAUUGGAUGAGAGUACUCUCAGGAGACACUAAUUCACCUUUAAUUCUGGUCUGCCACAAGGGUGGGCAAAAUGGCUUGGAUCAGAGAAUGCCCUCAACGAAGAAAUGCAGCUGCUACCAUGUAGAAGUCAGGUUGAUGUGGUAAGGGACCGGGGAUAUGGGAAAGACACAGACACUGAUGCCUUGUAAGCUCCUGGGAAUACCAAAAUGUACUGAAUCUUUGCAUUAAAAAAAAGCCAUCAUCUAUCAAGGCAGAAAGACAUGGAUUAGACUAAUUACAAUGUCAUGUGAUAAUAACAAUAGUGUUUAAGGGAACAUGGCAGAGGAGGCAACAAAUUGUGCAUGAGAAAAAGAGAAAGGGAAAGGAGAGCAGAGGUUCUUUGCAAGGGAUUGAUGUAUCUCUUCAUGUGCAGAGGAGGGGGAAGAUAUGGCUCUAUUUCAUAGUGAGUAUAUAUCACUAGCCAAAGUAUAAUCAGCAAUUGAAGGCUGAAUCUGCAUAAUUGCUCUUUAUUGCAUAUCCUUUCUCUGAUUUGAAGGCCACCACAUUUUGUAUUGUUAGACAGUCUUGAGGUGAUGGAGAAACUGUUCUAUGUCCGGAUUUUGAUAUUACAUAUUUCUACCUCCAUCUCAAUGUGAGACAAUCUCUGAUAAUAAGCCGAAUACGGUUGUCCCUCCAAGAUUGAAGAAGCCACACGGCCUCCUCUCAUUCAUCAUAGUUGAGUUCACACUUGAAAUUGAGGAGGUCAUUCUCCCACUAGACACCAUCAUUGCCUGUGUGCUCAUGAUAAUAGACAGUGACAUCACCUUGGGACCUUGAGAGGGUUAUAAUUUGAGGACAUGAGAGUUGCUAAUGAAACAGAAUAGGGUUUUUACCCAUGAUCUUUUCAUGCUAGAGACAAGGUUUGUUGAGGCUUUAAAGAGUCUCUAAUUUUGUGUGUUGUACCAGACACAAUAGAGCAGUACUAUAGAAAAGCAAGCCCUCUGAUGAGAAAUGGCCUCAUUCUCCUACCCUCAGGCAAUGGAGGUAGAAGGUCUGCCAGGUCAAAGGGGAAGAAUCCUACUAAGAGUCUUUUGGGGUAUUGGCUUGGGUUGAUGCAUACCUCUCAAAACAUUCAUCUCCAGUCAUAUGACCUGUAUAUUUGCAAACGCAGACACGAUUAGCCUGCCUAGGCCACCAUAAGGUGUAGUACAGUUGCUGAGUAUGUGGGCCUCAGCACCAGACUGCCUAGAUUUGACCAGCUUCUCUGUCUCUCACAGCUUGCCAGCUCUAAGGAUUCUGAACAUUAGCUUCUGGAUUUGGAAAAAGGAUAUCGUUAACAGUAGUACUUAUCAAUUUUGUAGAGAACAAAUGAGAGCAUGCAUAUGACACACUUAACAUGUUGUUGGGCACAUCAUGAGGAACACAUUGCCUUUGCAUACCCCACCCAUACUCCAAGUCUUCACGUCAUUUUCCACCUCUUCCUUACACUUCGGCCAUUAUCAAUUCCCCUUAUUCAGAACUUCUAAUCUCCAUGACAUAAUUCCAUAUAUAGCUGUACAAUUAUAUAGAGAGGAGUUGGCUUCUGUUGCUCAGACUUGUUUUAUGUCUGUUAUUUCAUUUGCUGAGGAAGAUGAUGCAUUGCUAAAGGACAAAAGUUGCCUGUCACUGCUUCUGUAAGUUCUCAAAGUUGCUAUACGUUAGGCACAUCAUAAAUGUCCCUCAUAAAUACUUUGUAAUUAAUUUGUACCUUACUACAAAGUUAACUUGAAUUUGUACAUAAGCAGCAAGUACUUCCUCUGCUUAAGAAAAGAACAAGUAAAUUAUUUCAGAGAGCAUUCUCCUUAGUUCUGAAGGAACAUCAUCCCAGCAAGCAGCCCCCAGACUUUUCCCUUUCCUAUUCCCUGAGCAAGCUUGGGCUCUUCAUGUGUGUUGGAAAGUAAUAAGAGAAUAAAUUAUAGACUUCAUGUCUCAGACUUACAGUUUUCUCUCACUAUGCCCAAAUGAUUUGAGAUUGUUAAAUGAAAACAUUCCUAGGGUCCGGAGAAAAACUCUAUUUAGAAGCAAACUAUAGGACUAGAUAAAAUCUCAUAUGAAAGGGCAUGUUUUUGGUAUAUCAUAGCAUUUUCUUGAAAUAUGUUUAAGUACAUCACAAAUUUGCACUCAAAGAUGUAAAAAAAAGUUUACAAAAUGCCGUUAGUCAGAGACAAAGUCAUGUAAUGUGUAGCCCAUGGAGGAAGUAGUCCCUGUAUCUCUUCUGUUUUCCUUAGCCACCAACUGUUCUUUACCAUACCUCCACCCCACGAUCUACAAUCUAGUUCCAAUACAUCCCAAGCAGAAAGCUGUUGGGUGAUUGGAGAGAAAUCAUCUUUGCUCAUUCAUUUGAUUAUUCAUCAAAUAUUUAUGGAGGAUUAUUAAUGUGCUCAAAUCUGAGGAUGUAAAGUUAAAUAAUAAACACAUCCUUAGGCAUGCCUCCAGAUUCACAAGCCCCUAGCAUGGCUGUAAUUAAGAAAUGAUUAUAGGCUUGGUGUAUAACAACACAAAUCUUUAAGGUUUUUACUAUCCCACUAAUAGCACUGAGGGCAGACUCAUGCUAGACUGCCUGGAAUCAAAAGCCAUUUCUGCACUCUUACUAGCUGUAUGACCAUAAGCAACCAAAUACAAUUUCUGUUCUAUUUUGUAAUCUGUGAAAUAGGGAUGAUAAUAACCUUCUCUGUAAGGUUAUUGGAAGGAUUAAAUGAGUUAAUAUGCAAAGUGCUUAAAUGCUUGACACAUAGUAAGGACUCAUUAAUAUAAACCAACAAUGUUAUUAUUAACAAUUUCUGAGUUCCUACAAUGAAAAUGGUGUGAAAUAUACGCAUGGGUGCAGUGAGGAAUAAAGCACUGGCUAAGAAGUGAGCUGAUGGAUAACUUGGACACUAAGUCCCUUUACUUCUGUUCAUCUUUUGUCUGAGAAUUGUGCAUAAUACCUUCUGGCUUGAUCUUCUGGGACAUAUGUUUGAAAUACAUAAAAUAUCUUCCUACUCAAUAAGCCAACUGAGAAGUAUAAAUUUUUUUUAGAAAAGUCUGUUUUCAUGAUGUGUUUAAAAUUUUUAAAUGCUUUUUGAAUCUUUGUGGUCUGUCCUGGCGGCAAAGAUGGCAGGUAUCAAAGCAUCAAGGGCCUGAUGCUCUUUUUUAGCUUCAUGGUGACUGUGCCCAGGACCAGCCCAUGCUUGUGGCAGCAGCCCUUCUGUGGCAGAUGACAGAAUACUACUUCACCAAGAAAAUACAGAUCAUUGGAUGUGAACUUAUCUGACUACCUUCCCCUCCACCUGUAAAACUUAUUAUCAGAGUAAGGAAAUGGUAUUCCUCCUUCAGUGCAAAGGUAAUCUCUUCAUCUUCCUUAUGAGAUUGAUUCCUCCUGCUCCUUCCAGAACUCUCCUCCAUCAAUUAUCCUCUAUCUCACUCGUACUUUCAGUCUCCCUUUCCUUUAUUCUACAAAUGUACCCUUCUCAUCUUAAUUUUAAAAAAAAAAAAACCUCCUUUCCCUCAAAUUCUGUAAUCUAGUAUUCAAUCCCUCUCUUUCUCUUUGGCACCAAUCUUUUAAACGAUAAAUCUACAGACUUACUUUUCCCCACUUUCUCAAAUCUCAUUUACUCUACCAACUCAGUAUGGGCUUUUGUAUCACCACUCUAGGGAAAUUGGCCUUGCUAAGGUCAAAAAUGUCCCAGUGGUCAAAUCCAAUGACCUCUCUUGUUCUUUCUACUCAACAUUCCUGCUGCACUUGUCGUGGUUGCUUUCCUCAUCUGCAAAACUCCCUCUUCCCUUAAUAUCAAUGACUGCAUCUCUUUCUGGUUCUCCUCCAGAUUUUCUAACCACUCUUUCUCUGUAUCCCUUGUUGAGUCCUUCUCUUCCUCUUAUUCUUUCAAUGUUCAUGCUCAUGGAAAUCCUAUUCUUAUUCAUCUUCUAUAUUUAUUCUACACAUUCUCACUGGGUGAUCUUAGCAAUACUGUCAUUAUAUGAUGACUACUAUUCCUACAUUUAUAGCUCUGGUAUCUGUUCUUGGCUCCAGAUUAAAAUUUUCAACUGUAGAUUAGAUAUCCUCGUGUGUCCCUGACAUGAAUAAACAAAAUCACUGUCUGCUCAGUUGCUCAAAAUGGAACCUUGAGUCAAACAUUACUCUUUCUAUUGUACCCGCUACAUCUUGUCUGAUGCAAUUUUACCUUAAGUUUAUCUUGUGAAUCUUGCCCGUUUUCUAACCCAUUGCCACUCCCUAAGCCCAAACCUUCAUCAUCUCUCUUUUGUGGAUGAUUGUCCUGGAACCCUGGUCCCUUACCUUUUUCGUAUAUCCUUUGAAAGGUAUCUUGAGUUAUCUUCUUAGAAAUCUUAUGUAAUUAUGCUCCUCUUCUGCUUAAAAACCUUGAUUGCCUUCCUGUUACCUGUGGUUAAAUCUAUGCUUCAAUAAUCUUCUUUACAUUCUGGCCUUAACUAACUUUAUUCUGUAGGCUUAUCUUCUAUGAUUUAUCCCUUUCACUUCCUCUAGAGAUACUCAUCUUUUAUUAUCCCCCAAACUAGCAAUGUUCUUUCCAGACAUGGACAGUUCUCUAUCUGAAAUUCCCCUUUUCAUUCAUUGAACACCUAUUUGCUCUCAAUACCAAAUUCAAGUACCUCCUCUUUUAUAAAGCCUAGAGCUACUUCUUUUUCCUCCUCAGUGAACUGAGUUCUCCUGUACCACGGGCCCUCUAGAGAAAAAUAAAGGUCAUCACUAUUAGUGGAUACCUUAGUUAGCCCCCCUAGUCUUUUGUAAAGAUUUUUGGUUCACUGCCUCAUAAUCUGGGAGAAUCCUGUACUUGAGAACUACUCAAUUUUUUUGUAAAGCUGGAAGAUGAAGCUCAAGAGGAGAAUUUCAGAAGAUGCCCAACCACAGACUCACUGGUUGGAAGGAAGUAUGGGCCAUAACCAUGAAGUGAACCUGAAAUUACUUUAGCAGUCAGAACUCCCUGGCAAUUCAGGUAUAUCCAAUAUUAUCAACAUGUAUGAUUUAUGCGCCUUUGGUUUUAUUUACUGAACACUGCAGACACUGAGUAGGAGAGUGCCUUAGGCCAGGGAUUCUAUUUGGAUAAGUUAGAUGUCACUAUCCAUCCAUGUUCGGUAUUAGGCAUGGAAAAGAAAACUUUUUAUAAAUGGGAUAUUGGUACUGAAAUAGUGGUAAAGUAGAAGAAGGUGGGAUAGUAAAGUUGCAGGUUAGAAUGCUGAUAAGUUAACAAUUCUCCUUUGAAUCACCCUCUACUUUGUACUUAGCGCAGUGUCCUAUGCAUAAUAAAUGCGUGAUACAUGUCUACAUGUAAAUAAAUCCACUUACUCAACAUUAAAUAUUUAUUAAGCUCCUAGAUAAACAGAAAGUGCACAAAAACCUGGGGCUUCAAAGAUAAAUUCAAUUCAACCUGUAAUAGAAAGGGCAGCAGCUGUGUUACAAAUAUAUUCAAUAAAGUAUUGCAGAUGGGGAAUGAGUGUCCCUGUUGUCAUUUUCUAAUGACUUAUACUCCCCUCCAUCCUAGGUUAUAUAUAAGGAAAGGUAGUGUUUGUCCAAGUCCUAUUUGGCAGCAGGAUAACUUUUUCUUCCCCUAAAUAACAAGAAUGAUAAAAUUCUGGCUGUUUUCUAUUCAAGAAAAUGCAGUGAGGAGUCAAAUGAGAUGAUACAUAUGGAGGGACUUCAUGAAUUUUAAGUGAAUCACAAUAAUUAGCAGAUAAUAAUAACUUAGUUCAGUUCUUAAUAUUCAAGUUUGCAUUGGUACAGAUUCUGAGAUUAAGGAUUAGUGUUAUCAAUUUUUAAAUUUACUUGAUAAAUGUCUAUUGACAACCUACCUACUGUCACGUGUUGGAGAUACAAUGUAGAAUGAGAUAAGCUCAAUCCUAACCUUCUUGAACUAGUCUAGGAUGGAAAGAAAUAGAGAAGCAACUAAUCACAAGAUAGACUCUAGACUGAGCACGUAGGAAAGGUUGGGAUUUGUAGUUUAAGAGAGGCUUUCUAGAGGAAAUGACAUUAACCUGAAGUCAGAGUAGAGAGUAAGCUGUUGGAAAGGCAGGGAUGGUAGAGAGAAAUGCAAGUGCCAAGCACCAGAAAUAAAAGGUUUGAGGAAUGGCAAAUGGGGCAUCGAGGCUGGAACAUAGAGUGGGAAGGUGUGGCUUGAGAUGUGGAAUGAAGAUGUUGAAAUUGACAAUAUAGAUGCUUGGCUUUCCCACUUCUUUGUCUCAUUUCCUCACUCUCUUAUAUGUCUCCCCUGAUUGCUUAUUCUUAAUAAAUCUCUUUUGCACAGGGUCUGCUUCUUGGAAACUCAACCUCAGACAGAUGUAGUAAAGAACCUAAACACAGAGAUCUUUGUGAGACAUGUACAAGUGCAAGCACUUUAUCCAAAAAUGAUGAGAAGGCCUAGGAGAGUUUCAAGGGUCAUGAGAGACCUAGAAUAUCAAGGAUACUAGUAUUUUGAGCUCUGCACUCCCUUGGGUGACAGCUCAGCUUCCUUUUUCUGUGCAUUCAGAUAAAGAUAUAGGCAAUCAGGCACCCCAGAGCAGCUGCACUAUGGAUUUUCUAAAAAAAGUACAGGAGUUUAUUUUUGAUCUUAGCUUUCCUUUAGGAUCUAUUUAUUAUGUCAUCUUUAUUUCUUUGCCUUCUUUGCACCUGCCACAUCACCCAUCUAAAGUCAAUAAUAUUUUUUAAAGGUGUCAUUCUGUGAUGUAUAUAGCAUAUUACAUGAUGUCACUGAUGGAUACUUUUUGUUAAUACCCUCAAGUGCUUUGCUCUAUCACUGAAGCAGAUAAUUUAUUCUGGCAUUUAUAUGAAAAGUUAGACACUGAGAGGGUACCUGCUUAUUUGAGACUUUAUGUAUGCAUGGUUUAUUAUGGCACAUAUUGUUAGCACAUGGCUCCAAAUUUUUAUGUAAUAAUUAUAUUCUUUUCAAUAUGUGGGGGAAUGAGAGAGGCCCCAUGAUGAAGGAAUAACUCAAUCAUGAAAGCUUCACAUGUCAAUCCACUCUUACUGAGCAUCACAAAGAUUCCUUCAGCCAAACUACAGUGCUGUUAACUAUACAUUGGCACCUCUUAAAUGAACUCAUUCUGGGAGAUGGAGGUGCUAUAGAAUACUUUUUACCCAGGAGCCAUUUGCAAACCCAGUUUCAACUGUAGGCAGAAAAAAAAAAAAAUCCCACGUGUGUAAUUAUCCUAUUUGCAGAGCUGGUUGACAAGUAGAAUCGUGGAGUUUUCUCCUUGAGAUAAGUGUAUUCUUUUGCCAAGGAAAUCUUUUUUUUAAUAGGGUUUAGGAUAUUUGCCCCAAGUCACAAAUUCAUACACUCUGCGGAAAGCCCUGCAUGUUAUAAACUUUGUUGGCAUUCAGGAGAUCUAUGGAACAGGAAGCCGCCUGCUGGGUUUUAAGUGGGAAUAUUUGCUCAGAAUAUUUGAUUAAAGGAUGCACUUAAAUGAGGCAUAUGUGCAUGAUAAACAAACGUGAGUCAGAAACUUGGGGGAAAUAAAAGGAACACAUAUUCCAGACUGUGGAUAAUUCCUUUUAUGUUGGGAGAGCUAGAGAAAUACAUCUGAUAAUAUAGGAUUAGUUUGAUAAAGAUCAGGUUAAGCAUGCCACUGGUUACAGAGUGGGCACGGAUUCUAGGAAAUGAAAUGGUAAUAUUUCAGAUAAAAUAAAUACUGAAUAGUAUGGCAACCUUAUUAACAAACUGUGACCUUAGAUUUUGGAGAGAACAGGUAGCCUGGCAUUCAUCUAUUUAAAAAGGCCUCUGAAAAAAGUGAAAUUUUCAGUGCCAGGGCUUCCUAUUCACAAGGCAUGACCCUGGGCAUAUGUAACAUUUCCUUUCAAACAGGGAUGAUGUCUUAAAUUUUUAUAUUUUGGGAACACACUGUAUAUACUUCCUUUGGAAAGCAAAUCUCAGGAUUCCAAAGAAAAUCUUAUCCUCUUGUUCAUAUUCCUUGACAUCUAUAACUAAUAAUUCAGCAAAGCCACCUUCUCAUACCCCAAUAUCUAAUGACACCGUCUGUCCCUUGGAAAUGGAGAAGCUGUGACCCUGGAAGCAAAUGAUAGCAAAGGAUCUAAGUCAGGCACUCAGAUUAUAUAAAACAAAAUUUGAACUCAAAGUAAGCAAAUGUGUGCAUGCCCAAAUAACUUCUUUAUAGUUAACCUUUAUUCAGUUCUUCUUCAAGAUGCAGUGUAUCUAAGACUGCCAACCUCAAUCAAAAGACAAACUUAAUCAGUGCUGUGGUUUUAAUGUGUCCCCCAAAGCUCAUGUGUUGAAAAUUUAAUCCCCAAUUCAAUAAUGUUGAGAGGUGAUGCCUCUAAGAGAUGAUUAGGUCAUGAGGGCUGUGCCCUCAUGAAUGGAUUAAUGUCAUUGUCAUAGGAGUGGGUUAGUUCUCACUGGAAUGGCUUCCUGAUAAAAGGAUGAAUUCAGUCCCCUUCCCCUUCUUCCUUAUGCCCUCUUGCCCUUCUGCUUUCUACCGUGGGAUGAUGCAGCAAGAAGACCCUCGCCAGAUGCAGACUCCUCAGCCUUGGACUCCCAAGCCUCCAGAACUGAAGUGAUGGAAAAACUAUUCUCAGCAAAUGAGUGGAAAUUGCACAACUACAAGAUUUACCCAUUUUUUGAAAGCUGCCUGAGAAAGAAGAUAGCAAUCCAAAAGAAAAUUCUUCAUACAGUUCACAGAUGCUAACUGAUCCCCUGUUCCAUCAACCAUAACUACAGCUUUGACCGGACAAGAGACUGAUGUCAGUAACUUUCUCCUAAUAAGAAGACCACCAACCAUGGACUGAUGAUUCUGGCUGGUUUAAAGAGAUCACUCUUGCAUGCCUCUGUGUCCUAAAAAGGCCUUUUGACAUACAGGCCCUAAUUGUAAGACAUUUAAAUGUUAAGUCUCCACCUCAAAGUGAACAUGGGUUGUAUGUUACAUGCAUGUUUGCUUUAUACACAUGCAUCAGAACCACCUUUGUGAAUAUUCGUAGCCUUCUAUAACCUGUUGAAUAUGUAUGUUUAGCCAACCUGUUCAACAUAAAGCUCCUAUACCAACCGUUCCUCCUUUGAAGUGCCUGUCUCUGGUCUUGUCCAAAGACAUGCUUCCCAGGCUGCAGGAUGGUCACUUUGCAGACUAUAACCCUUUACAAGAAAUAAAGUCUCCUUUCCUUUUCCAAAUUUAUAGAUUUAAGUUGACAAAAUGAAUACUCCAAGAUCCCAUCAUCCAUAUAUUCUGUAGAUGGAGAGGUGUGGGGCCCAGGAUUUGCCUUUUUAACCAGACUCUCAGGUGGCUUUGAAUCAGGUCUUCUGAAAAACAUGGCUUGAGAAACACAUCUGGUUGGUUGUUAAUUUGUUUUAGUAUUAAAUCCUAAAUCCUUUGAUUUGGCAUACUAUAUACAAACUUAUGUAAUAAACCAGAGUUAAUUCAAAGGAAAAAGUAGAAUAUGAGAAAUCCAUUGUCAGCACCGUACAUUAUAUUUAUAAAUUUUCCUGAAUCACAUAAUCUAACUUAAGUUUGGUUUGCCAAAUGUGUGCCUCAUUCACUUUUCAGAGACUCUGAGAUUCAAAUAUAAAUAAACGGAUCCCUUGUUUUCUGAAUACAUUUAUUUGGGUGGUGGGAAAUGGGCAAAAUGCUUUUUCUAAUAGAAAGCCUGAUAAAAGAAAUCUUGACUGUCUUGUUGGUCAUGAAGUGGUUAUUAGAAAUCAACAUCUUGAAGUAUUUAAAUGCAAAUAAAUUAGAAGAAGAUACAUUGUAUUACCUUCUGUGUAUGUUUGGUUUAAAAAUGAAGUAAAAAUUGUGUGGUAAAGUAGUCCUGGGCUUUUCCUAACGUAGGAGAAUUGCCAAGAUGAGUAGCUGUAUUUCAAGUGUGAUAAUCAAACCAGCCAAGGAGUGGGAAAUGAGCAACUGUUCCCAGAACUCUCCAUUUCCUGGAAAUGCACACUACUCUGCCCCUGGUCUUCAUGCCUUUUUAACCCCUUACCCAAUCUUUUCUUCUAACACCCUUUCUCAAGGUCUAUGCAGAGCAGAAGAGCAUGAAGGGAAAGAAUUUAUCUCAAAAAUGCUUCCCCAGAGAGACUUGGCAUUAAAUCUUCUGCUCAAAUCCAAACCCACAACACAUCCCAGCAUGGGGAGCCUGGAGGGAAUUACUGUAGGGACAAGCACAUUAAUAUUAGCAAAUAUGUUAAAUCAGACAGAAAGGAAACUGUAUUAAUUAUUUUCGUAAGCUCCACAGGAAGAUCUCUCUUUUUUUUUCUCCCUCCGCGUCUCUCUCUAUCCCUUGCUCUCUUUUU